UUUGAUCAUGGCUCAGGACGAACGCUGGCGGCGUGCUUAACACAUGCAAGUCGAACGAUGAACCACUUCGGUGGGGAUUAGUGGCGAACGGGUGAGUAACACGUGGGCAAUCUGCCCUUCACUCUGGGACAAGCCCUGGAAACGGGGUCUAAUACCGGAUAACACUUCUGCUCUCAUGGGCAGGGGUUAAAAGCUCCGGCGGUGAAGGAUGAGCCCGCGGCCUAUCAGCUUGUUGGUGAGGUAAUGGCUCACCAAGGCGACGACGGGUAGCCGGCCUGAGAGGGCGACCGGCCACACUGGGACUGAGACACGGCCCAGACUCCUACGGGAGGCAGCAGUGGGGAAUAUUGCACAAUGGGCGAAAGCCUGAUGCAGCGACGCCGCGUGAGGGAUGACGGCCUUCG
RNAcentral lists this ribosomal RNA (404 nucleotides) under Streptomyces galilaeus. Its description in RNAcentral is "bacterial SSU rRNA". It matches the Rfam family "Bacterial small subunit ribosomal RNA", at positions 12 to 420 of the family's 1533-position model. Lineage: Bacteria; Bacillati; Actinomycetota; Actinomycetes; Kitasatosporales; Streptomycetaceae. The record is from RNAcentral.